This 212-nucleotide non-coding RNA is filed under the name Alloactinosynnema sp. The record is from RNAcentral. Lineage: Bacteria; Bacillati; Actinomycetota; Actinomycetes; Pseudonocardiales; Pseudonocardiaceae.
AUGGUGUCGAUCAGAGCUGGUUCGGCCGUCCAAUCCAGGGCGGUCGUCGUAAGAGGGAACCCGGUGCGAGUCCGGGACUGCCCCGCAGCGGUGAACGGGAACGACAGCCGUCAGGAAGCACUGGACACAUCACUAGUCCGGGAAGCGACGGCCAGUAGGCGCCACCAGGCACGCCCGUGAGUCCGAAGACCUGCCAGCCGCCCCGCACGCGC